UUUCGCACUUGUUCUCUGUCA
Molecule: non-coding RNA, 21 nt
Filed under: Caenorhabditis elegans
Lineage: Eukaryota; Metazoa; Nematoda; Chromadorea; Rhabditida; Rhabditidae
Source: RNAcentral